Molecule: unclassified non-coding RNA, 304 nt
Filed under: uncultured Coniochaetaceae
Lineage: Eukaryota; Fungi; Ascomycota; Sordariomycetes; Coniochaetales
Description: sequence contains ITS1
Rfam family: 5.8S ribosomal RNA (bases 1-105)
Source: RNAcentral
GAAAUGCGAUAAGUAAUGUGAAUUGCAGAAUUCAGUGAAUCAUCGAAUCUUUGAACGCACAUUGCGCCCGCUAGUACUCUAGCGGGCAUGCCUGUUCGAGCGUCAUUUCAACCCUCAAGCCCGGCUUGGUGUUGGGGCCCUACGGCUGCCGUAGGCCCUGAAAGGAAGUGGCGGGCUCGCUGCAACCCCGAGCGUAGUAAUUCAUUUUCUCGCUAUGGACGUUGCGGCGGUGCUCCUGCCGUUAAAGACCCAUCUUUAACCAAAGGUUGACCUCGGAUCAGGUAGGAAUACCCGCUGAACUUAA